Molecule: long non-coding RNA, 1771 nt
Organism: Mangifera indica (mango)
Lineage: Eukaryota; Viridiplantae; Streptophyta; Magnoliopsida; Sapindales; Anacardiaceae
Exons: 2
Source: RefSeq, a predicted model, not a curated record
CAAAACUCCUCCUGUCCAGACGGUUUCAUUUACGAAUAGAUUAAGCAUGUUUAACCUGCCUUCAAAUCUGCAACUUUCCAGGGUUUUUACUUUCCCCUGUUCAGCGGCUCUCCAACUGGCAACCAUACGACAUUAGUGAAGAAUUGUCUCAACCCUGAAGCUUAAUCUACUGAAAAGGCUAUUGCUGUCGAACAAUUUUCAACUAUUGUUGAUUCUGAUUGUAGUGAAGUGACACAUGACUUAGCGGUUGACACUUUAUUACACUCAAGCAGAUGAAGCGGCUAAGAACAUUUGGCCGGUCAAUCUAGUUGUAUAAGAGAGGUGUGAAUUUGGGUUGAGCAAGAAGCUAGUGCGACUUGUGGUAGAGUUGCGACCAGGAGAGCUCUUUGGCCAAGAGAGUUGCGACCUGUGAUAGAGCAAGAGUGCAACCUCUGAAAGACUAAGGGACAAGAAGUAGGUGAGACCUGGAGGACUAGUCCAACAAGAGCAGGUGUGAUCCCUUGAAGCUAGUAGAAGAAGAGGUAUUAUAUACGCGUGGGCAGCUUUUGACUGGGGGUAUAAGUCAAAGUCUAGAGGUAAAACUCCUUUGCUUUAAGUAUGGCCAUAACAAGGGAGAUUCUCCUAAAAUAAGAAGAAAUCUAGUGAUAAGGAUGUUGAUGGAAAUGUAGAUGCAGGUUGUAGAUAUCAUAUGACUCCUAAUAAGAAUCUCCUAAUUAAUUUUCAGGGACAAGAAGCUGGGAGAGUACUUAUCUUGCAAAAUUAAUUUGUUUGAGAGCUUGGAAAGUAGAUUAGAGAACCAUGUUAUCCCAUCCUUUAUACUUGCUUCCGUAACUAUCUUCAAUCUAAAGGAAACAAUAGUACAUAUGCUAAAAGCUUCGACCUAUAAAUUGUUGUGAUCUUUAAAAUCGUCUUACUCCUAAAGUCAAUAAUUUGCGAAACAGUGGUGUGCUACAAUUGGCCUAUGGCUCUUUUAUGCUACUCUCAUUUGAAAGAGUUGUGGACUUUGUAAAGAAAAUGAGUUUCGAUCCAUUUAGGUCACAGUUUGUUGUAGCCAUUUCCAUUACCAUUAUGUUGUUAACUCAAAAUUUUAAGUGGGAUAACAAGUUUGAUAUUUACAAGCGGUGGGGUUGGUCUGAAGAAGAGAUUCUAACAGCAUUUGGCAAACACCCUUUGUGUAUGAUGACAUCAAAUAAUAAGAUUAUGGCUGUGAUGGACUUUCUUGUGAACAAUAUUGGUUGGGAGCCUUCUACCAUUGCUCAGCGGCCAAUUCUUUUUUCAUUCAGCAUGGAGAAGAGAAUUAUACGUUGUGCUUCAGUUCUUUAGUAUCUGUUAGCCCAAAGGUUUGCUUAAGACCAGAUUUACGUCAUUUAGGCCAUAUAACAUUUGUGAUGAAGCAUUCCUGCAGAAGUUCAUGAAUUGCUAUGAUGAAGCUGUACAAAGAGAAGCUGGAUUUUUCGAAGAUGAUCAAGUGAUCAACAAAUAGAGGUAGGCACGUGUUCUUUCUGAUAUGGUUACUUCAGAAUGGUCCAAAUUCUGUGUCACUUGAUUUUGUGAAAUUCUUUGUUUUCAGGCUUUCUAUAGUCGAAUCAGGAGCAUAUAUUCCUGACUAAUUUUGGUUUACUGUUGAUUUUUUUAGCUAUUAGUAUAUUGUGAUAGGAAUGCAGCAAUUGUGACAAGUUUGCAUGAGAUUCUGAAUGGAUGCUCUCCUUCUGUAGCACUUGAUCUUAUUUUCAGAUUUACUUCAAUUGAAGCCAAAAAGAGCUUCAUUCCA